RNAcentral lists this unclassified non-coding RNA (413 nucleotides) under fungal sp. RNAcentral describes it as "partial internal transcribed spacer region". The stretch from base 1 to 46 matches the Rfam family "Eukaryotic small subunit ribosomal RNA", at positions 1786 to 1831 of the family's 1831-position model. Lineage: Eukaryota; Fungi. The record is from RNAcentral.
AAGUCGUAACAAGGUCUCCGUAGGUGAACCUGCGGAGGGAUCAUUAACACGUUUACCAAAACGUUUUCAACCAAACUCUGUGAAUAUGUAAUAAUAUAAUACUCCCUUUAUAGUUUUGGACGAAUGAAAAACCAUCAGGGUGGAGAGUAUUAGUUAAUUCUAAUACAACUAUGGCUCAUUCUAGGGGUUCGUUAAUUCGAGAUCCCAAUCCACUAUAAAGUGUUGUUGCGACCACCUGGCAGUCUACAUUAAUUUGUAGCGUUCUUGCCGAAACCAUUAAAAAAAUAUUUUUAACCCCUUUAAAACAUAUUUAAAAACUGAACCAUUUUUUUUUCAUAAUGAAUAAAACCAUUUUUGAAAAAAAAGAUAUACGUAAUGCUGAACAACUCUUAGCAAUGGAUAUCUUGGUUCUC